RNAcentral lists this ribosomal RNA (414 nucleotides) under Triticum aestivum (bread wheat). RNAcentral describes it as "partial small subunit ribosomal RNA". Lineage: Eukaryota; Viridiplantae; Streptophyta; Magnoliopsida; Poales; Poaceae. The record is from RNAcentral.
AUGUGUCUUGUGGGGCGAAGGAAACUUUGGUGGGGCGACAACGAGGACAGGAGAAAAACUCAUUGGUUGGCUUGGGAUAAAUUGACUAGGCCCAAAUGUGAGGGGGACAUGGGUUUUCAGGAUCUAAGAUUAUUUUACCAAGCCCUUCUGGCUAAGCAGGCUUGGAGAUUGGUGGUUAACCCAGACUCCUUAUGCGCCAAGGUGAUGAAGGCAAAAUAUUAUCCCCAGGGGCAUAUUCUUGACACAACUUUUCCCCAAGCGGCAUGGCUCACUAGGAAAGGUGUAUUACAUGGAUUGGAUCUUCUUAAAUCUGGCACUAGUAGAAAAGGGGGCAAUGGUCGAGGCCGAGUCAGCCCAUUAGUCUCGGUUCAAUCCAGAACCGGGACCAAUGGGGGCAUUGGACCCGGUUCGUGA